CUCAAAGCCUAUGCUAAAAAUCAGCAAGUUUCUAUGUAUUUUAAAAUUCACAGAUUUUCCAUUUUUAAUACAGAUUCAUAAAAGGAAAUUUCUUGAAUUGUAAACAGCAUCAUUCAUCAAGUUUAUUGCUCCAGCAAGUCUGCUUUCAGAAUUUACCUGACUGAGUAACUUUCACAUGAUUUUAUUCUUCUGGCACAAAUUCAUUUCUUAAUAAACUUUGGCAAAGGUGAGAGUACAAGAUAUCCCACCCAGCAUACAUAUACUCUGCAAACUUAUUUAGGCUGCAAAACAGUAUGUAUAAUAUAUACAAAGCCAGUCUCUUGUUUUCUUUACGAAGUCACUCCUCCUCCCCAUUUAGUUAUAGGGGAAAAAAAUGAUAUACUGAAAAUCAUAUAUUCUAAGCACCUUAUAAAUUAACUAGCGUCCUUACAAAAACUAGAAAUCAGUUCAUAUUUCAUGCUUCCAGAGAACAUCCAAUUAAUCACACAAAUAAAAGGAUUUUUAAUGUGCCCGUCAUAGCAUUGCAACUAGUACCUGCUUGCUCCUAAGUUCCCUGAAUAACCUUCACAGAUGUCAGUUGCGUCUCAGAAUUGGCCUUAGCUUAAAUUAUAUUUUCAUAAUAAAAAAUAGUGUAAUCAGCCCAGUAUGUGCUUUGUGUGUCUUUUAUUUGCACAGGCAGCAGUAAAUACAGUAAAUAUAUAUCUACAGUGGACCUUUUAACAAUGGAGAAAAAAUAUAUUCAUUAAUAUAUAUACAGUUUCAACAUAUUUUAUUUCUCUUCUCCUUACAAAAUGAAACUCUGCCAACACUUGGGGUUUUAUCCACAUUUCACUUCUGGAGUUUCUUCAUAGUCUCAGGGACUAUGAUCAGGUUAAUGAUUUGACAUCAUGAAUCGCAGUCAUUGCAAUCCCCAAAAAUAUGACCAUUUACCAGCAUCUGAUAUGGCUUUUUCAUUCUAAAACCUAAAUUUAUAAAUUUAGGGCAAAAUUGGCUUGACCUUCCAGAAACCCAGGGGGAAAAUCCAUUCUUCUUUCUAACACUGGUCUGAGAGGUGAUGCCUCAUCGGCACUGCAGGCAGCUGGUGAUUCCCAGGACUACCGCUCCCCAGGCCAAUCUCCAACCACUAUUCUGGUGCAGUAGUUCUGAAGGGGGCUCAAGAAUCUGUUUUUAGAUCACUUCUCAGUGACACUUACGGGCAACAAGUUUGAGGGUCAGUUAUCUAAAUGCUCAUCUUAAUUAUUCCAAGUUACUGAACAGAUCUUAGAAAUGCACAUGUUCCAAUGCAAAGGUCGGAAGAAACUGCCUCACUCCCACUUUCACACACGUGGACAUGUGGCGGCAAUGCUCUAGGACAGAGGGUAGGACAGUGCCUGCUGGACAGGGUUAAGGUUUGUGCCACUGUGUGUCUUUCUUGCAUCCAUAGCUCUUGCCUGUCCCUCAAGAGCAGAAAAAUUGGAAACUACAUUUCCCAGGCUUCCAUGACAGCAGGGCUCUAGCUAGAUUUCAUCAGUGUCAAGCAGUCAUGUACAAUUUGGAGGGAUGAGAAAAAGAAGAAGCCAUAUUUCUCCAGCAGCAGCAGAUUCUGGCAGGAUGCUAAAGAUGAAGUGAGUAAGUAGUAGGAAACAAGAAACUGCUGACAGCGUCUGAUGAUACCAUCCUGCAUGUUUCCAGGCCUCAUACAGUGGAAUCUGCUUUCAGUUUACACUCUACAAGUCACUCUGCUGCUAAAGGUGUGUGGAAGCUUCCUCUCCUAGAGUCAUAGCACACAGCAGACACUGCCACCAAUCAGAGUCAAUGCCAAUCCCACCAAAUGACUCAAUGAAGAGACACUGGAGACAGUGAGGAAGUCCCCAUGUACCUCUUGCAUCCAGCUUUUCAAACAAAACAUGAUAAACCAUGUAGUGAAGAAGUUAGGCAUCUGGAUCUGGAAUCAGGUGAAUUUGAUUUUGAAUAUGGGCUCUGUCACUUUUUAGCUACAUAUCCACCAGCAUGUUAUUUAUUCUAAUUUUCUAUUUUAUUCUCACUACCCACUCUGAGUAGGCUCAACCUCUCUAGAUUCUGCUAAGUGGCAGGGAUGAGAGAAAGCCAUCUAAGAAACUACUCAUGCUUGACACAACCUACCAGGACACCAGAAAAAUGAGCCUCUGUCAUACUCCUAUCCAGCUUCCUUCCAGGCAGUGAUGACAUAACAAGGUGUUACCAUAUAGCUUGUUAUCUAACUGGACUUACCUUAAAGUCAGAUGAGCAAGUAGAAACCUGCACCAUACCAAUAAUCUCUCUAGCCUACAGGCUCAAGGUAAUCCUUUGAUAGUUCAUUCUUUGCAUCACAAACCCCUUUCAAAUUCUUCCCCAGGCUUUCCUAUGAGGUGACACUAAGGGGAAUACAAUGUGGCUCUAAUACCGUUUGUACAGAUUGUGCAUAUUUUUUCUCAUUAGAAUGGCAUGCAUUGUAGAGGGGUUCCCAUUGUCAGAGUAAAGUUUUAAACACGUGAACAUGUUGGAAUCCUCUCCAUCCUUUGUUUUGUGAGUUUCUUCACAAAGCCUUGGAGAUACGUAUACCCUUGGUGACUUCAUUCACUCAUUUCACAUAUCCUACUUCUAUUAUCUAACUCUGGUAUCCAUUCCUUUCCAUAAGGCAGUGAACUUUUCUACUAGUUAAUAUCCCCAUUCAAAAAAUCUGUCCUCUCUGAACCUUGAUUUCAUCAUUAUAAAGUGAGGGUAUGGGGGAAAUUGUGGAAAUUAUGUUUAAGUGAAUAACUAUGUAUUUUCUAGAGGAUAUCACCCCAGAUUAUCUAAUUUUGAUUCCAUGGGAACCAUCUUACAACUCUGUAAGUUGUAAAUAAUUGAAAGCAAUACAAAAUAUUUCUUGUCGGUAGACAUACGCAUUUUUUUCCAGUUAAGUAGAAGUUUGAUUGACUUCCUUUACCACAUUAUUCAAAGAAAUAUUUUGCUUUCAUUUGUACAUUCAUUUUAAUAUUUCUGAUCUACAAGUGGGUUUGUCCUUUGGACUGUUUUUGAAUCAGC
Molecule: long non-coding RNA, 3024 nt
Filed under: Homo sapiens (human)
Lineage: Eukaryota; Metazoa; Chordata; Mammalia; Primates; Hominidae
Description: HSALNT0093230
Source: RNAcentral